This 499-nucleotide long non-coding RNA is filed under the name Gallus gallus (chicken). The record is from RNAcentral. Lineage: Eukaryota; Metazoa; Chordata; Aves; Galliformes; Phasianidae.
AAUCCCUCUGGCAGCCCUGGAUGAGAGGAAUGUUCUUUAAUUAGCACAGAAGAUGAUUGUCUGCUUAAGUGGUGGGCAAUUCUACAUCAUUCAGAUAAGGUUUGAUUCCUCUCCCUGAAGGAUUGUCAGGGAAAGGAAAAGAAGAGUAAAGGGAUCCACCAACAGAUGGAUGCAGAGUAUUGGUCUUAAAGACAGCCUGUUCUGCUGGAAGGAUAUAGUAUGUCCUCAAAGGUGGAUCUCAAUAAGGAUUUAUCAGUGAAUUGUGAGAGAACGUUUAGUUUUAGAAGAGUUAAUUUGAAGGACACUGAAGAAACAAAUUAUCCCCAAAUCAAUGGUAAAGUUAUUAAGCAUGAAGAAAUCCUACGUGAUAUACCCAAAUCCAUCCAGUGAAACAAGGAACACUCCACUUCACCCCAAAGAAAUAAGGCACCUUCCAGAAAAAGAAUUUGUUGUUUUGAUUAUUUAAAAAAGAUGGCAAAACUGAGGCAGAAGGAAGCAG